Molecule: ribosomal RNA, 497 nt
Filed under: uncultured bacterium
Lineage: Bacteria
Description: partial 16S ribosomal RNA
Rfam family: Bacterial small subunit ribosomal RNA
Source: RNAcentral
GAUGAACGCUGGCGGCGUGCCUAAUACAUGCAAGUCGAGCGAACGGACGAGAAGCUUGCUUCUCUGAUGUUAGCGGCGGACGGGUGAGUAACACGUGGAUAACCUACCUAUAAGACUGGGAUAACUUCGGGAAACCGGAGCUAAUACCGGAUAAUAUUUUGAACCGCAUGGUUCAAAAGUGAAAGACGGUUUUGCUGUCUCUUAUAGAUGGAUCCGCGCUGCAUUAGCUAGUUGGUAAGGUAACGGCUUACCAAGGCAACGAUGCAUAGCCGACCUGAGAGGGUGAUCGGCCACACUGGAACUGAGACACGGUCCAGACUCCUACGGGAGGCAGCAGUAGGGAAUCUUCCGCAAUGGGCGAAAGCCUGACCGAGCAACGCCGCGUGAGUGAUGAAGGUCUUCGGGUCGUAAAACUCUGUUGUUAGGGAAGAACAGAUGUGUAAGUAAAUGUGCACAUCUUGACGGUACCUAAUCAGAAAGCCACGGCUAACUACGUG